AUUUAGUAUUAUUCAGCUUAAAGAAAUGGUAUCGUGGAGAACCGAGUUCGGGUUUCAAGUAUCCGGAUUUGGGAUCGCCACAGCGAUGCUGUGAUUGAGCAUCACGUCGCUGUGAAUUACUCUGGAUGGCUGUAUGAGAUGCGACAGAAGGCAGCCUGGGCAGUUGUGGACCAGCCCGGGACCACCAUAAGAGAUCAUCAGCCCCGCAUAGUCUCCGAUUUAGCCUGGGAGGCUAUGUGUGUGCACUAGGAGGCUGAUGACUUCAAGAAAAAGUUCGAGCAGGCGAAGAAGAACCGUGGUUAGCUCCGAAUAGUACACACCACUGGUUCUCAGUCGUUCGAGGAGGCGAAGACGGUAAGUGCGUUGUAUUUAGUUAUUUAUGUGUCAAGUUCUCACACAAAUACUUAAGACCUGUUUUAUGAUUGUUUGUAUUAGGGAUUGGGGAGGACCUUGGGCCGUGAUCCUACCAUUCUAUAGUUUUGGGAUCGAGCCCACACGCCUAAGGACGAGCGUGCUUUGUCUCAGGCAGCUUUAUCUAUACGGGUAAAACUCAUCUAACUAUUUAGCUUUUAAUAAUAUUCAAUCGUAACUAAAAUGAUAUAAUUAACAUACGUAUACGGAAUACAUUACAUGACCGAUUUCAGAGGCUUCGGGACGAGCGUAUAGCUGAGCUGGAGACUAUUAGGAGGGGUUCUGAGCCGUUACAUUCCGCCACCCCUCUUCCCGAUAUUGUAUUAGAUCGGGAUGAGGAGCUGAGACUAUGGGUCGCGUCUCAGGAUCCCCCUACUAGCAGUACCGACAGAUAUCGAGUGUUGGGUCUGCCGAGGAUACCCGCAUAUACACUUCCUGGAGGUAAUAUUUUUUAAUGUUUCAUGAAAUUAUCCGAAUUUAUCACAUUAUAUAAAUUAUUAUUAGUAAUCGAAUUUGUAUCUCUUUAUAGGCUCCAGUCAGCGCCAGCGUCCGAGAGCACAUGUCGGACCAUCUCAUACGGGCGCUGGCUUGGAUGACGAUAUCUUCCGACGGCUGAUAGGGGCCGUGUCGGAUAGGUUCCAUACUGAUCCAGUUUUUCAGCGUCAGCAGUUGCCUUCCAAUUCUCAUCUUCACCAGAUUUCUCAGGAUAUUAUAGCAAGGGCCUCUGCAGAAAGUACAAGAUUACCACGGAAGCAGUUCGACACUUGGAGCGCCGAGAUACUCCGGAUAGUGAUUACCCUCUUGGAGGAGGCUUUUCGUCCACCCCCACCUACUCAGGUAUUCUUAUUGUUUAUGUUUUUCAAUUAAGGCUAGUUUGUUAAUUCUCUCUCUCUCACACACACACACACAUAUAUAUAUAUUUAUAUAUGGACUAAUGAUUUAUAUUUUUGAUUCUAUCAACAGGGUGGCGAUGGCGACCAGGCUUGCGAUGAUGAACAGGAGCACGAGUCUGACAUCCAUACACCAGAGCAGCGUCGUUCACCUCCGCUCGAUGACGAUCAUACUUUUACUAGUUUAUAGUUCAUUUGUAUAUAUUCAUGUUAUUGGUAGACCCUUUUGUAUAUAUUGUAUUGUCUAAUUGCGCCUGUACAACUAUUGUAAAUUAUAUUGUUUAACAUUUAUGGUCAAUUAAUUAUAUUUGUAAUUGGUUAGCUUAUAAUACGUUUUGGUGGAUAUUUGAAUGUGAAUGUGAAUGAUAAUGAGUUGAAG
Molecule: long non-coding RNA, 1680 nt
Filed under: Panax ginseng (ginseng)
Lineage: Eukaryota; Viridiplantae; Streptophyta; Magnoliopsida; Apiales; Araliaceae
Description: long non-coding RNA (PGIN_LNC005649)
Source: RNAcentral